GACAACUUGAACAAGGGCCAUCUUGAUUAUUAUUUCUGGCUCUUAGCUGGACUUAGCGUCAUAAACAUGUUCGUCUACAUUGUCUGUGCCAAAAAAUACAAACAGAAGAAGGCCUCUUGAGGUAAACAACAAGGGACGGUCUCAUAUCCACAUGCAGGAAGGGUCUUAGUUGCAAGUGGUUUGUAAAUAAAAUUAUAAUGUUCUACAACU
Molecule: unclassified non-coding RNA, 210 nt
Filed under: Hevea brasiliensis (rubber tree)
Lineage: Eukaryota; Viridiplantae; Streptophyta; Magnoliopsida; Malpighiales; Euphorbiaceae
Source: RNAcentral